Oryza meridionalis is the source of this 208-nucleotide non-coding RNA. The record is from Rfam. Lineage: Eukaryota; Viridiplantae; Streptophyta; Magnoliopsida; Poales; Poaceae.
AAUAAGUGCAGUUUUACACUAUACAUCUCCAACGUUUGACCGUUCAUCUUAUUUGAAAUUUUUUUAUGAUUACUAUUUUUAUUAUUAUUAGAUGAUAAAGCAUGAAUAGUACUUUAUGUGUGACUAUUUUUCUAAGAAAUUUUCAUAAAUUUUUCAAAUAAGACAGACAGUCAAACGUUGGACACAAAUUUCCACGGCUGCACUUAUU